AGUGAAUAAUUAAACGGCCGCGGUACCCUAACCGUGCAAAGGUAGCAUAAUCAUUUGUCUAUUAAUUGUAGACCUGUAUGAAAGGCAAAAUGAGGGUUUAACUGUCUCUUAUAGUAAAUCAAUUAAACUGAUCCUCCAGUAAAAAAGCUAGAAUAUUCUCAUAAGACCAGAAGACCCUGUGAAGCUUAAACUAAACUAUUAAACCCUAUAAUAGCUACUUUCGGUUGGGGCGACCUUGGAAAAAAAAGGAACUUCCAAACACAAUGACUAUAAAUCACACCACACGGCCUACAAGCCCAUAAAUUAGACCCAGCACAGCUGAUAAUUGAACCAAGUUACUCCAGGGAUAACAGCGCUAUCUUCUUCAAGAGUCCAUAUCAAAAAGAAGGUUUACGACCUCGAUGUUGGAUCAGGACAUCCUAA
Molecule: ribosomal RNA, 423 nt
Filed under: Philodryas olfersii
Lineage: Eukaryota; Metazoa; Chordata; Lepidosauria; Squamata; Dipsadidae
Description: partial large subunit ribosomal RNA
Rfam family: Bacterial large subunit ribosomal RNA
Source: RNAcentral